GUCUCCUGAACGCAGACCCAGCUUUAUCAGUUUUGCUCCUGGCUUUACUUUUCUAUGCUCUUUGCCACUUAAGUCUACAAAUAUUUGCUAAUAUUUGAUGUUACGCUAAAACCCACAUGGUUAGGGGGAUUGUAUCCUCAUACACUACUCAAUGAAGCAAAGAAGCAAACAAGAACAAGAACAGAACUACUCAACUGGUUAUUUCCAUGAUUCCUAAAAAUUACUAAAAUGCUUUUUCAAAAGGUAGAAUGGAUGUUUAAUGCAAGGCUUGAAGAGAUACUGGGGUGCCUUUUUCUGAUUCUGCCUGACACACACACACACACACUCUAAAAAAAAAAAAAAAGAGAGUCUGCUGGAGUAUGGCACUGUGACUUGAACUGAAUGAGAAAUAAUUAGCUGUUAUGCUUCCUUUAGGUACUGGAAGACCUCAACAAAGUCUCCCUGGAACCUCCUCCAGGCUAAACAAGCCCAACUGUCUCAGCUGGUCUUUGUAGGAGAGAUGCUCCAUUCCUCUGAUCAUCUUCAUGGCCUUCCUCUGGACCCACUUCAACAGCUCCCUGUCUUUCUUAUGUUGAUGUCCACAGAGCUCAAUACAGUUCUCCAGGUGGGAUCUCACAAGAGAUGAGUCAAGGAAGCUAGGCACUUUCAUGAAGAGCUAGCAGAGUUUUGACGUGUUGAAGUAUAUUUAAAAUAUGUUAAUAUUUAAACCAUUAUCAAUAAAGAAAUAGAAAGCAG
This 735-nucleotide long non-coding RNA is filed under the name Gallus gallus (chicken). RNAcentral describes it as "lncRNA (ENSGALG00010001052.1)". The record is from RNAcentral. Lineage: Eukaryota; Metazoa; Chordata; Aves; Galliformes; Phasianidae.